Molecule: ribosomal RNA, 497 nt
Filed under: uncultured bacterium
Lineage: Bacteria
Description: partial 16S ribosomal RNA
Rfam family: Bacterial small subunit ribosomal RNA
Source: RNAcentral
GAUGAACGCUGGCGGCGUGCCUAAUACAUGCAAGUCGAGCGAACAGACGAGGAGCUUGCUCCUCUGACGUUAGCGGCGGACGGGUGAGUAACACGUGGAUAACCUACCUAUAAGACUGGGAUAACUUCGGGAAACCGGAGCUAAUACCGGAUAAUAUAUUGAACCGCAUGGUUCAAUAGUGAAAGACGGUUUUGCUGUCACUUAUAGAUGGAUCCGCGCCGCAUUAGCUAGUUGGUAAGGUAACGGCUUACCAAGGCGACGAUGCGUAGCCGACCUGGGAGGGUGAUCGGCCACACGGGAACUGAGCCACGGUCCAGACUCCUACGGGAGGCAGCAGUAGGGAAUCUUCCGCAAUGGGCGAAAGCCUGACGGAGCAACGCCGCGUGAGUGAUGAAGGUCUUCGGAUCGUAAAACUCUGUUAUUAGGGAAGAACAAAUGUGUAAGUAACUAUGCACGUCUUGACGGUACCUAAUCAGAAAGCCACGGCUAACUACGUG